AUAUAUGAAUUAGAAAUAUGAGGAAAUAAGAAGUCUAUAUCCACAUAUAUUUGCUAUCCACAGGUUGAGAGCGGCAAAUCUGCUCCCUCCUCCACAGCUCCGCCCCUCAAGGCUUGGAUUUCGAUGGCUCCGAGAAGCAAGUGUACGUCACAUCAAUUCUGAAGAUGAGGACAAGUUGACCAGGUUUGACGUACGCCUUACUCACCGCCUAGCUUGAAACCAAUUGUUCAUACUUCAUAGAUGAUAACAAGCUAGGGUUUCCAUGAGUUCCAUCAUUAGGUACGUAUAAAUCUUCAGAGGUUUCCUCAGUUUAAUUUCUGUUAUAUAUCAUGAACAAUCAGCAACAUUAACUAAUGUGUUUUUGAUCGUGUAGCUCCUCCACCUGCCGCCGCAACGUCAUCUCUGGCAACGCCAGAGCCGAAGAGAGUCGGCUAGACGCCUAGACACCAUUCUUGCAGAAGAGAUCGAGGAAAAAUUGUUUUGUCUAAUACUGGCUUCAUUGAUAAAUUAGCUAGAAAGUUUAAGAUCGUUAGUAACGCAAGCUUAUCAACUGAGUUUUCGAUUCACGAGCAACCGAGCAAAUACAAUCGAUCCUUCAAAAUGUGUAUUCUUUUUCUUGUGUUGUUUACAUUACAAAACAACAACAUACAUGACUAGCUUGGAAGAGAAACUGGAUAUCAUGAAAGUGCUCCUAUAUUUCAUUUAUAUAAACAU
Molecule: long non-coding RNA, 714 nt
Filed under: Fragaria vesca (wild strawberry)
Lineage: Eukaryota; Viridiplantae; Streptophyta; Magnoliopsida; Rosales; Rosaceae
Description: long non-coding RNA (FVES_LNC002075)
Source: RNAcentral